UAGAUGAAUGCUCGCUGGUUUGGGCGCUUAGCUGUUAACUAAGCUUUUGUAGGAUCGAGGCCUACUCAUCUAG
This 73-nucleotide transfer RNA is filed under the name Benthosema pterotum (skinnycheek lanternfish). RNAcentral describes it as "tRNA-Asn". Lineage: Eukaryota; Metazoa; Chordata; Actinopteri; Myctophiformes; Myctophidae. The record is from RNAcentral.